Hemicordylus capensis (graceful crag lizard) is the source of this 4787-nucleotide long non-coding RNA. RefSeq lists it as uncharacterized. The record is from RefSeq and is a predicted model, not a curated record. The transcript is spliced from 3 exons. Lineage: Eukaryota; Metazoa; Chordata; Lepidosauria; Squamata; Cordylidae.
GCCAAAUGGUAAAAACUAAACAUGCUGAAAUUUAUUAUUUUUUCAAUAUUUUUAGAUUGAAGAAAAGAGACCAGGAAGAAACCUAAUACCGGACAUCUGUGGAAGACAGAGAGGAAAAAAAGAAUCAUCAGGGGACAAGAAAACGGAAGAAGAUGAAGAAGAAGAUCUGCUCCAAAGAGAAGGGGAAAAGGACAGUGACGUAAAGAAGUGAUUGGGAACUAGGUUUUCUUGAAGUGCUCAGUUUUUGAUGGCUGACUUCAUGUCUCUGCCAUGAAUUGUACGGAUAGGACAGAAUAUUUCCUGGAGGGCUUCUCUCUUGGUGUCUGACUUCAUGUCUCUGCCAUGAAUUGAACUAACAGGACAGAGUAUUGCUUGGAAUAUUUUUCUCAUGGUGGCUGACUUCAUGUCUCUGCCACAAAUUGUACUGAUAGGACAGAGUACUGCCUGGAGGGCUUGUCUCUUAGUGGCUGACUUCAUGUCUCUGCCACAAAUUGUACUGAUAGGAAAGAACAUUUCCUGGAUUGCUUCUCUCUUGGUGGCUGACUUCAUGUCUCUGCCAUGAAUUGAACUCAUAGGAAAGAGUAUUGCUUGGAAUAUUUUUGUCAUGGUGGCUGACUUCAUGUCUCUGCCACAAAUUGUACUGAUAGGACAGAGUACUGCCUGGAGGGCUUGUCUCUUAGUGGCUGACUUCAUGUCUCUGCCAUGAAUUGUACAGAUAGGACAGAUUAUUGCCUGGAGGGCUUGUCUCUUAGUGGCUGACUUCAUGUCUCUGCCAUGAAUUGAACUAACAGGACAGAGUAUUGCUUGGAAUAUUUUUCUCUUGGUGGCUGACUUCAUGUCUCUGCCAUGAAUAGUACUGAUAGGACAGAAUAUUUCCUGGAUUGCUUCUCUCUUGGUGGCUGACUUCAUGUCUCUGCCAUGAAUUGAACUCAUAAGACAGAGUAUUGCUUUGAAUAUUUUUCUCUUGGUGGCUGACUUCAUGUCUCUGCCACAAAUUGUACUGAUAGGACAGAUUAUUGCCUGGAGGGCUUGUCUCUUAGUGGCUGACUUCAUGUCUCUGCCACAAAUUGUACUGAUAGGAAAGAACAUUUCCUGGAUUGCUACUCUCUUGGUGGCUGACUUCAUGUCUCUGUCAUGAAUUGAACUCAUAGGAAAGAGUAUUGCUUGGAAUAUUUUUCUCUUGGUGGCUGACUUCAUGUCUCUGCCACAAAUUGUACUGAUAGGACAGAAUAUUUCCUGGAUUGCUUCUCUCUUGGUGGCUGACUUCAUGUCUCUGCCAUGAAUUGUACAGGUAGGACAGAGUAUUGCCUGGAGGGAUUGUCUCUAAGUGGCUGACUUCAUGUCUCUGCCACAAAUUGUACUGAUAGGACAGAUUAUUGCCUGGAGGGCUUAUCUCUUAGUGGCUGACUUCAUGUCUCUGCCACAAAUUGUACUGAUAGGAAAGAACAUUUCCUGGAUUGCUACUCUCUUGGUGGCUGACUUCAUGUCUCUGCCAUUAAUUGAACUCUUAGGAAAGAGUAUUGCUGGGAAUAUUUUUCUCUUGGUGGCUGACUUCAUGUCUCUGCCAUGAAUUGAACUCAUAGGAAAGAGUAUUGCUGGGAAUAUUUUUCUCUUGGUGGCUGACUUCAUGUCUCUGCCACGAAUUGUACUAAUAGGACAGAGUAUAGCCUGGACUAUUUUUCUCUUGCUGGCUGACUUCAUGUCUCUGCCACAAAUUGUACUGAUAGGACAGAAUAUUUCCUGGAUUGCUUCUCUCUUGGUUGCUGUCUUAAUGUCUUUGCCCUGAAUUGAACUCAUAGGACAGAAUAUUGCCUGGAUUGCUUCUCUCUUGGUGGCUGACUUCAAGUCGCUGCCAUGUAUUUCUGUGAAAUACAUGUUAGAAAAAUCGAGUGUGUUUAGAACAUACUGUUCCGAGACCUGACGAUGAAAAGACGGGAAGACACGGAUGUGACACCUCUGCCAGCUGCCAGCGUUGGAAGCCGAUUGCGAAGGCCUGCUGACCAAGAACUACAAUGGGAGAGCUCUGUUCAGAUUGCAGAAAAGAGAUCAGGAAGAAACUUAAUACCGGACAUCUGUGGAAGACAGAGAGGAAAAAAAGGAUCAUCAGGGGAAAAGAAAACGGAAGAAGAUGAAGAAGAAGAUCUGCUCCAAAGAGAAGGGAAAAAAGGACAGUGACGUAAAGAAGUGAUUGGGGAUUAGGUUUUCUUGAAGUGCACAGUUUUUGGUGGCUGACUUCAUGUCUAUGCCAUGAAUUGUACGGAGAGGACAGAAUAUUUCCUGGAGGGCUUCUCUCUUGGUGGCUGACUUCAUGUUUCUGCCAUGAAUUGAACUAACAGGACAGAGUAUUGCUUGGAAUAUUUUUCUCUUGGUGGCUGACUUCAUGUCUCUGCCAUGAAUUGUACAGAUAGGACAGAGUAUUGCCUGGAGGGCUUGUCUCUUAGUGGCUGACUUCAUGUCUCUGCCACGAAUUGUACGGAUAGGACAGAAUAUUUCCUGGAGGGCUUCUCUCUUGGUGGCUGACUUCAUGUCUCUGCCACGAAUUGUACUAAUAGGACAGAGUAUUGCCUGGACUAUUUUUCUCUUGCUGGCUGACUUCAUGUCUCUGCCAUGAAUAGUACAGAUAGGACAGAAUAUUUGCUGGAUUGCUUCUCUCUUGGUGGCUGACUUCAUGUCUCUGCCAUAAAUUGUAUGGAUAGGACAGAAUAUUUCCUGGAGGGCUUCUCUAUUGGUGGCUGACUUCAUGUCUCUGCCAUGAAUUGAACUAACAGGACAGAGUAUUGCUUGGAAUAUUUUUCUUUUGGUGGCUGACUUCAUGUCUCUGCCACGAAUUGUACUGAAAGGACAGAUUAUUGCCUGGAGGGCUUCUCUCUUGGUGGCUGACUUAAUGUCUCUGCCAUGAAUUGUACGGAUAAGACAGAUUAUUGCCUGGAGGGCUUGUCUCUUAGUGGCUGACUUCAUGUCUCUGCCACAAAUUGUACUGAUAGGACAGAUUAUUGCUUGGAGGGCUUCUCUCUUGUUGGCUGACUUCAUGUCUCUGCCACGAAUUGUACAGAUAGGACAGAAAAUUUCCUGGAGGGCUUCUCUCUUGGUGGCUGACUUCAUGUCUUUGCCAUGAAUUGAACUCAUAGGACAGAGUAUUGCUUGGAAUAUGUUUCUCUUUGUGGCUGACUUCAUGUCUCUGCCACGAAUUGUAUGGAUAGGACAGAGUAUUUCCUGGAGGUCUUCUCUCUUGGUGGCUGACUUCAUGUCUCUGCCACGAAUUGUACUGAAAGGACAGAGUAUUGCCUGGAGGGCUUGUCUCUUGGCGCCUGACUUCAUGUCUCUGCCAUGAAUUGUACUCAUAGGAGAGAGUAUUGCCUGGAAUGCUUCUCUCUUGGUGACUCACCUCUUGUCUCUGGCAUGUAUUACUGUCAAAUUCAUGUAGAUAAAUCGAGUGUUUUUAUUACUUACUGUUCCAAGACCUGACGAAGAAAAGACGGCAAGACACGGGCGUGACACAUCUGCCAGCUGCCAGCGUUGCAACCCGAUUGCAAAGUCCUGCUGACCAAGAACUACAAUGGGAGAGCUCUGUUCAGCACAGAGAUCAGGAUGAAACCUAAUACUGAAAUUGUGUGGAAGACAGAGAGGGGGAAAAGGAUCAUCAGGGGACAAGAAAACGGGAGAAGAUAAAGAGGAAGAUCUGCUCCAAAGAGAAGGGGAAAAAAGGAUCGUUACGUAAAUAAUUGAUUGGGGACUAAGUUUUCUUGAAGUGCUCAGUUUUUGGUGGCUGAUUUCAUGUCUCUGCCAUGAAUUGUAGUGAUAGGAUAGAAUAUUUCUUGGAGGGCUUCUCUCUUGGUGGCUGACUUCAUGUCUCUGCCAUGAAUUCAACUGAUAGGAGAGAAUAUUUCCUGGAGUAUUUUUCUCUUAGUGGCUGACUUCAUGUCUCUGCCACGAAUUGAACUGAAGGGACCUUAAAUUUCCUUGAGAGCUCUUUUUUGGUGGCUGAGUUUAUAUCUUUACUAUGUAUUGAACUGUUUGGUCAUGAAAUCUGUUGAAGUGCUCCUUUUUUAUUGCUGACUUCAUGUCUAUUCCAUGUAUUACUGUGAUUAACAUUUAACAUUAUUAGAGGUAGAAAGAUCUUCUUUCAGGCACAUUUGGAAGAAACGUCAGACAGAAGAUAUAUUAAAGACACAAAGAAAGAAAAGGAUUUUCAUGGGCCUGAUAUCUGGAGACGUUGGGUAGAAGAUCUGCUCCAAAGAAUUAGAAGUGAAGAACAGUGAUAUAAUCAAAACGAUGGUUACUAAAUUUGCUCAAAUGCUCCUUUUUUGGUAGCUGACUUCAUGUCUCUGCCAGUUAUUGCACUGAUUGGAGGGUAAGUUUUUGAAUUGCUACUUUCUUGUUGGCUUUCUUCAUGUCUCUUCCACGCAUUGCUCUUUGUAUCCCCUAAGAUAUAGUAGAUGUAGUGGGCUUUCCACUUAAUGUCAUGACCAGUGUUGCUUCUAAGGCGGAUCCCCAGGUUUCGUUCACUACAACUCCCAGAAUCCCCAGCUGCUACGGCUUUUGCUUAGAAAUUAUGGGAGUUGUAGUCAACAACAUCUGGGAAUCCCUCUUACAGGGAACACUGGCCGUGACUAGUUUUAAAUCAGCUUCUCUGUUCUGCCUUGGCCCCAGUCUUUGGUUCUCUUUCUGGUUCCUUCGUAGGAAAGGAGGUCUAAUAGGUGAAUGCCAUUUCUGACUGCUGAAUGACCUGAUAUGUUGCGAAGGUCCUCCGGCUGGGUGAGGAUACCCCAUGAUAUGACUCUGAUCAG